CUGGUUUUAUGAUCUGACUAUUUGAUGAUCUCUACUGAGAUGGUAAAAACUUUGUUUUUGGCAGUUAAGAGAUGGAAGAAAUCUGGUUAUUUGGUUCCUUAUUGUGUUUGUGUGCUUUUCUAUUGUGGAGCUUAACUCAAUGAAGAAAACAUUUCUUGCACACUAGAAAGCAGAGCAGCCCUUUGAGAUCUUCAACAGUAAAGUUUUUCCUCUGUGUUUAACUUGUGACUGAGGUUGUGGCAAUUAAACUGCAAGCUCUUUCUAUAUCUGUGUGUUUAUAACUGGGAAAUACCUACACAUCUUCUGAUGUUUGCUGCUGUCAUCUUAUGCUUGCCUGAAGGCUCUGUUGUAAAUUACAGAGUAAAUUUUUGUCUUCAAUAAAGAAAGCUGCACUCACAGACUCAUGGAAAGCAAUAUACUGGGACUUUUACCUAUUGAUGCUUCACAGCAUACAUUCAUGGUUAUAGGCUUUGGAGCUUAAAGCUGACAAUAUUUAAACAAGUGUCAGAUCAUACCAGCAGACUGAGUCAGGACAGCUAGGUCUUUUUUAAAACUAGAAGCGGAAAACUUCAUUAAUAACAGACAGAUGACCUAUGACUCAGUAAAGGAAUUAAUUCCAUUGGACUGAAUGAAUUAAUGAGGGAAAUUUAAUU
Molecule: long non-coding RNA, 653 nt
Organism: Homo sapiens (human)
Lineage: Eukaryota; Metazoa; Chordata; Mammalia; Primates; Hominidae
Source: Ensembl